RNAcentral lists this transfer RNA (65 nucleotides) under Orthetrum sabina. RNAcentral's name for it is "tRNA-Asn". Lineage: Eukaryota; Metazoa; Arthropoda; Insecta; Odonata; Libellulidae. The record is from RNAcentral.
UUAGUUGAAGCCAAAUAGAGGCAUAUCACUGUUAAUGAUAAAAAUGAAUUAUAAUUCCAACUAAA